CAGUGCUGCAGCUAACGCAUUAAGUAUUCCGCCUGGGGGAGUNCGACCGCAAGGUUGAAACUCAAAGGAAUUGACGGGGGCCCGCACAAGCGGUGGAGCAUGUGGUUUAAUUCGAAGCAACGCGAAGAACCUUACCAGGUCUUGACAUCUUCUGCCAGGCUGAGAGAUCAGCUGUUCCCUUCGGGGACAGAAUGACAGGUGGUGCAUGGUUGUCGUCAGCUCGUGUCGUGAGAUGUUGGGUUAAGUCCCGCAACGAGCGCAACCCUUAUGUUCAGUUGCCAGCAUUUAGUUGGGCACUCUGGACAGACUGCCGGUGACAAACCGGAGGAAGGCGGGGAUGACGUCAAAUCAUCAUGCCCCUUAUGACCUGGGCUACACACGUGCUACAAUGGGUGGUACAACGAGCAGCGAGACCGCGAGGUCAAGCGAAUCUCUAAAAACCAUCCUCAGUUCGGAUUGCAGGCUGCAACUCGCCUGCAUGAAGCUGGAAUCGCUAGUAAUCGCGGAUCAGCACGCCGCGGUGAAUACGUUCCCGGGCCUUGUACACACCGCCCGUCACACCAUGAGAGUUUGUAACACCCAAAGCCGGUGGGACAACC
This 599-nucleotide ribosomal RNA is filed under the name uncultured Lactobacillaceae bacterium. Its description in RNAcentral is "bacterial SSU rRNA". It matches the Rfam family "Bacterial small subunit ribosomal RNA", at positions 841 to 1440 of the family's 1533-position model. Lineage: Bacteria; Bacillati; Bacillota; Bacilli; Lactobacillales; Lactobacillaceae. The record is from RNAcentral.